This 66-nucleotide transfer RNA is filed under the name Deltaproteobacteria bacterium. RNAcentral describes it as "tRNA-Leu". It matches the Rfam family "tRNA", at positions 6 to 65 of the family's 71-position model. Rfam says of the family: Transfer RNA (tRNA) molecules are approximately 80 nucleotides in length. The record is from RNAcentral. Lineage: Bacteria; Pseudomonadati; Myxococcota; Myxococcia.
AAUAGCUAAGUCGGUAAAGCACUCGGUUUAGGCCCGAGGAUUCGAGGGUUCGAUUCCCUCUUGAAA